This 261-nucleotide long non-coding RNA is filed under the name Trifolium pratense (red clover). RNAcentral describes it as "long non-coding RNA (TPRA_LNC010105)". The record is from RNAcentral. Lineage: Eukaryota; Viridiplantae; Streptophyta; Magnoliopsida; Fabales; Fabaceae.
ACCCAUUUUACUGCUAUUGCUUUCUUGUCUGAUGGUAACUUGACUAUCUCCCGUGUAUGAUUCUUCUCAAUGGCACAUAGUUCUUCCUCCAUAGCUUGCUUCCAUUUCAUGUUAUUCAGAGUUUCAAUAUGAUUAACAGGUUCUGCUCCUGCUAGCAGUGCAAAGUGUACUAGAUCACCAUCUUCAUUUACCUCAUUAUCAUUUACCACAUCACAAUCUUGUAAUCUGGCUGGAAUUUUUCUUGCCCUUGAUGAUCUGGCU